UUCCUAGCUGUCCAGUGGUUAGGACUCUGUGCUUCCACUUCAGGGAACACAGGUUCGAUCCCUGGUUGGGGAA
Molecule: transfer RNA, 73 nt
Filed under: Bison bison bison
Lineage: Eukaryota; Metazoa; Chordata; Mammalia; Artiodactyla; Bovidae
Rfam family: tRNA
About the family: Transfer RNA (tRNA) molecules are approximately 80 nucleotides in length. Their secondary structure includes four short double-helical elements and three loops (D, anti-codon, and T loops).
Source: Rfam by way of RNAcentral